RNAcentral lists this ribosomal RNA (429 nucleotides) under Chloroflexota bacterium. RNAcentral describes it as "Chloroflexi bacterium partial 16S ribosomal RNA". It matches the Rfam family "Bacterial small subunit ribosomal RNA", at positions 355 to 776 of the family's 1533-position model. Lineage: Bacteria; Bacillati; Chloroflexota. The record is from RNAcentral.
UGGGGAAUAUUGCACAAUGGGCGCAAGCCUGAUGCAGCCAUGUCGCGUGUAUGAAGAAGGCCUUCGGGUUGUAAAGUACUUUCAGCGGGGAGGAAGGGAGUAAAGUUAAUACCUUUGCUCAUUGACGUUACCCGCAGAAGAAGCACCGGCUAACUCCGUGCCAGCAGCCGCGGUAAUACGGAGGGUGCAAGCGUUAAUCGGAAUUACUGGGCGUAAAGCGCACGCAGGCGGUUUGUUAAGUCAGAUGUGAAAUCCCCGGGCUCAACCUGGGAACUGCAUCUGAGACUGGCAAGCUUGAGUCUCGUAGAGGGGGGUAGAAUUCAAGGUGUAGCGGUGACAUGCGUAGAGAUCUGGAGGAAUACCGGUGGCGAAGGCGGCCUCCUGGACGAAGACUGACGCUCAGGUGCGAAAGCGUGGGGAGCAAACAGG